UUCCGGUUGAUCCUGCCGGACCCCACUGCUAUCGAGGUGGGACUAAGCCAUGCUAGUCGAACGAACAGAACUAUGUCUGUAAGUGGCAUACUGCUCAGUAACACGUAGCUAACCUACCCUUAGGACGUUGAUAACCCCGAGAAAUUGGGGCUAAUAGGCGAUAGGUGUGAUGUCCUGGAAUGGUAUCACGCCCAAAGGUAUCCCAUACAUGUUUGGUAUACGCCUAAGGAUGGGGCUGCGGCCGAUCAGGCAGUUGGUGAGGUAAUGGCUCACCAAACCUUUGACCGGUACGGGCCAUGAGAGUGGUAGCCCGGAGAUGGACACUGAGACAAGGGUCCAGGCCCUACGGGGCGCAGCAGGCGCGAAACCUCCUCAAUGCACUAACGUGCGAAGGGGUUACCUCGAGUGCCACCUGAAGAAGGUGGCUUUUCCUUGGUCUAAAAAGCCUCGGGAAUAAGAGGGGGGCAAGACUGGUGUCAGCCGCCGCGGUAACACCAGCCCCUCGAGUGGUGGGGAUGAUUAUUUGGCCUAAAGCGUCCGUAGCCGGCCGGGUAAGUCUCCCGUUAAAUCCAGCGUCUCAAGCGUUGGACUGCGGGAAAUACUGCCUGGCUAGAGAGUGGGAGAGGUCAGCGGUAUUCUGGGGGUAGGGGCGAAAUCCUUUGAUCCCCGGAGGACCACCAGUGGCGAAGGCUGCUGACUAGAACACGUCUGACGGUCAGGGACGAAAGCUGGGGUAGCGAACCGGAUUAGAUACCCGGGUAGUCCCAGCCGUAAACGAUGCAUGCUAGGUGUUGGGUUGGCCACGAGCCACCCCAGUGCCGCA
RNAcentral lists this ribosomal RNA (823 nucleotides) under uncultured archaeon. RNAcentral describes it as "bacterial SSU rRNA". It matches the Rfam family "Archaeal small subunit ribosomal RNA", at positions 1 to 805 of the family's 1478-position model. The record is from RNAcentral.